GGGUGUUAUCCCUCGCGCUGUUACCUGGACCGAAGAAAGUAUGCUAGCAGCGUUUGAAGAGAUGAAAAAGGGAGACAAGGGUGUAAAUCAGAUUUCUAAAAUUUAUGGCAUACCAUCUAGAACAUUAAGACGAAGAUUUCUUAAAAAUGACCAACAAAAAUUGACAUUAGGUAAACACCCUGUGCUAGGGUUUGAUAACGAAAAUCUCCCCCUAUCUUAAGAAUAAUUUAGUCUGAUACCAAA
Long non-coding RNA from Trichoplusia ni (cabbage looper), 243 nucleotides. RefSeq lists it as uncharacterized. The record is from RefSeq and is a predicted model, not a curated record. The transcript is spliced from 2 exons. NCBI's taxonomy places the organism in Eukaryota, Metazoa, Arthropoda, Insecta, Lepidoptera, Noctuidae.